UUGCUUUGGCAGCAUAGAUACCAAAAUUAAUGCAACACAUAAAAGAUUAGCAUUGCCCCUACAAGGAUGACCACAUGCAAAUUCGUGAAGCAUCCCAUGUUUUC
This is a small nuclear RNA of Fukomys damarensis (Damara mole-rat), 104 nucleotides long. NCBI's taxonomy places the organism in Eukaryota, Metazoa, Chordata, Mammalia, Rodentia, Bathyergidae. The record is from Ensembl.